This 403-nucleotide ribosomal RNA is filed under the name uncultured bacterium. RNAcentral's name for it is "bacterial SSU rRNA". It matches the Rfam family "Bacterial small subunit ribosomal RNA", at positions 29 to 418 of the family's 1533-position model. The record is from RNAcentral.
AACGAACGCUGGCGGCGUGCCUAACACAUGCAAGUCGUGCGAGAAAGUUCCUUCGGGAGCGAGUAAAGCGGCGCACGGGUGAGUAACACGUAGGUAACCUGCCCCCCAGUCUGGAACAACUAGAGGAAACUCUAGCUAAUGCCGGAUGAGACCACGAUCCCUUCGGGGGUUGCGGCCAAAGAUGGCCUCUACUUGUAAGCUAUCGCUGAGGGAUGGGCCUGCGGGCCAUUAGCUUGUUGGUGAGGUAACGGCUCACCAAGGCUGUGAUGGCUAGCUGGUCUGAGAGGAUGACAGCCACACUGGGACUGAGACACGGCCCAGACUCCUACGGGAGCAGCAGUGGGAUAUUGCGCAAUGGGCGAAAGCCUGACGCAGCGACGCCGCGUGGGUGAGUGAAGGCCUU